UUCAAUAAAUAAUUAUCAAACUUGUAUUUACGUGUGCGUGUUGUUUUCACAUAUUAAUAUAUAAAUCAAACCAACAACAACUUAGCUGAAUCACGUUAAAGUUUGGUGGUUGAACUUUAGAAAAAGCUGAAUCAAUUGAAUGGGUUGUGUUUGUUCAACUUCAUCUUCAGAGAAAGUUAAAACACCAGGUUAUGAGGAU
RNAcentral lists this long non-coding RNA (199 nucleotides) under Lathyrus oleraceus (garden pea). RNAcentral's name for it is "Pisum sativum (pea) long non-coding RNA (PSAT_LNC018342)". The record is from RNAcentral. Lineage: Eukaryota; Viridiplantae; Streptophyta; Magnoliopsida; Fabales; Fabaceae.